GGAUCUGGGUGAGAGAGACACAUACAUGAAGACAAAGACCAUUAUGUGGCACGUGGGUCUUUCACAGGAACACUGUGUUCUGUACAUUUUGUUCUACAUGUCAAGCAGAGAAACACGGACCGCGAACACACGUGAUCCUCCUGAAGAGCUCUGACGCCAUCUGCCGCACUCUUCAUCACUUCUCUCACCGGAUUUAUCUGACCAUUGGAGACCCUGUGCCGCUAGCCUGUAACACCUGACUGGACUUUUCAUAUGCUUCAACAUCGACAAUUAAUAAAUUGAAUUUCACUUGCACGUGCUUCCGAGUUUCAUUCGUGACAUGAUUGUUGUCAGCUGUGUAUUAUUAACCUUGUUAAAUCAAUUAAGCCCGGUUUAUUCCCGUCAUCCCAUCAAUUCCUUCGCAAAAUGAGUCACUGUGUGAUGC
Molecule: non-coding RNA, 424 nt
Organism: Pimephales promelas (fathead minnow)
Lineage: Eukaryota; Metazoa; Chordata; Actinopteri; Cypriniformes; Leuciscidae
Source: RefSeq, a predicted model, not a curated record